RNAcentral lists this ribosomal RNA (497 nucleotides) under uncultured bacterium. RNAcentral describes it as "partial 16S ribosomal RNA". It matches the Rfam family "Bacterial small subunit ribosomal RNA", at positions 28 to 507 of the family's 1533-position model. The record is from RNAcentral.
GACGAACGCUGGCGGCGUGCCUAAUACAUGCAAGUUGAGCGCUGAAGGUUGGUACUUGUACCAACUGGAUGAGCAGCGAACGGGUUAGUAACGCGUGGGGAAUCUGCCUUUGAGCGGGGGACAACAUUUGGAAACGAAUGCUAAUACCGCAUAAAAACUUUAAACACAAGUUUUAAGUUUGAAAGAUGCAAUUACAUCACUCAAAGAUGAUCCCGCGUUGUAUUAGCUAGUUGGUGAGGUAAAGGCUCACCAAGGCGAUGAUACAUAGCCGACCUGAGAGGGUGAUCGGCCACAUUGGGACUGAGACACGGCCCAAACUCCUACGGGAGGCAGCAGUAGGGAAUCUUCGGCAAUGGACGAAAGUCUGACCGAGCAACGCCGCGUGAGUGAAGAAGGUUUUCGGAUCGUAAAACUCUGUUGGUAGAGAAGAACGUUGGUGAGAGUGGAAAGCUCAUCAAGUGACGGUAACUACCCAGAAAGGGGCGGCUAACUACGUG